This 23-nucleotide unclassified non-coding RNA is filed under the name Mus musculus (house mouse). RNAcentral describes it as "oocyte_clustered_small_RNA7890". The record is from RNAcentral. Lineage: Eukaryota; Metazoa; Chordata; Mammalia; Rodentia; Muridae.
UGGAAGAAGGGUUUCAGUUGUCU